This 497-nucleotide ribosomal RNA is filed under the name uncultured bacterium. RNAcentral's name for it is "partial 16S ribosomal RNA". It matches the Rfam family "Bacterial small subunit ribosomal RNA", at positions 28 to 507 of the family's 1533-position model. The record is from RNAcentral.
GAUGAACGCUGGCGGCGUGCCUAAUACAUGCAAGUCGAGCGAACAGACGAGGAGCUUGCUCCUCUGACGUUAGCGGCGGACGGGUGAGUAACACGUGGAUAACCUACCUAUAAGACUGGGAUAACUUCGGGAAACCGGAGCUAAUACCGGAUAAUAUAUUGAACCGCAUGGUUCAAUAGUGAAAGACGGUUUUGCUGUCACUUAUAGAUGGAUCCGCGCCGCAUUAGCUAGUUGGUAAGGUAACGGCUUACCAAGGCAACGAUGCGUAGCCGACCUGAGAGGGUGACCGCCCACACUGGAACUGAGACACGGUCCAGACUCCUACGGGAGGCAGCAGCAGGGAAUCUUCCGCAAUGGGCGAAAGCCUGACGGAGCAACGCCGCGUGAGUGAUGAAGGUCUUCGGAUCGUAAAACUCUGUUAUUAGGGAAGAACAAAUGUGUAAGUAACUAUGCACGUCUUGACGGUACCUAAUCAGAAAGCCACGGCUAACUACGUG